RNAcentral lists this ribosomal RNA (404 nucleotides) under Verrucomicrobiota bacterium. Its description in RNAcentral is "Verrucomicrobia bacterium partial 16S ribosomal RNA". It matches the Rfam family "Bacterial small subunit ribosomal RNA", at positions 355 to 776 of the family's 1533-position model. Lineage: Bacteria; Pseudomonadati; Verrucomicrobiota. The record is from RNAcentral.
UGGGGAAUAUUGCACAAUGGGGGAAACCCUGAUGCAGCGACGCCGCGUGAGCGAUGAAGGCUUUCGAGUCGUAAAGCUCUGUCCUAAGGGAAGAUAAUGACGGUACCAUAGAAGAAAGCCCCGGCUAAUUACGUGCCAGCAGCCGCGGUAAUACGUAAGGGGCGAGCGUUGUCCGGAAUUAUUGGGCGUAAAGAGUGCGUAGGCGGCAAAUUAAGUCAGAUGUGAAAACUAAGGGCGCAACCCAUAGAUUGCAUCUGAAACUGAUAUGCUUGAGUCAAGGAGAGGAAAGUGGAAUUCCUAGUGUAGCGGUGGAAUGCGUAGAUAUUAGGAGGAAUACCGGUGGCGAAGGCGACUUGCUGGACUUGAACUGACGCUGGGGCACGAAAGCGUGGGGAGCAAACAGG